GAAGAGAAGAGAAACCAAGCGGAGACGACGAGACCACCACUCCACCUUCUCUUCCUCCCUCUACACCUCGCCCCGCUUCCCUCUCUCGCCGGCGUCGUCCCCCUCCCCUCCCCCUCCGCCGCCGCCGCAGCAGCACAGGGACACCCUCCGCCUCCUCCCGGAUCUACUCGCGCCCCCUACGGCUGUCUCCCUCUAGCUCCCCCGCCCUCCCCCUCUGCUCAGAUCCGUCACUGCUACUCCAGCCCGGCACCCGAGAUCCGCCACCGCGGUCUUCCCCCUCCCCUCGCCGGUGGGGUGGAGCUCGUUGCAGCGUAUAAUAUUUGGCUGGACUACCAUAGUACUUUUUGGAUACCUUUUGUGGUCUCUACUCCAUCAUCGUGUUUGUCAGCACAACACCUUGGACGAAAGGAUGCUUGAAAUUUAGACUGGAUAAAUAAGAACUAUAUUGGACUCCACAUUCAUUAAUAAACUUAGCCAUGCUGCUAAUUAUUCCCGGUCGCUGCCAUAAGGUGUUCUCGCUAUUGCCUUCUGCUUCUCUGUGUUAUGGAAAUUGGGACUCUGCUGCUGUCAUGUAUGAUGCCCUCUGAAUUUGAACCAUGGCGCAUGCAAGGAGAUUUCCAACAGAUCCCAAAGAAUAUAAAUUAUGUGAGGAAGUUGGAGAUGGUGUUAGUGCCACGGUGUACAAAGCUCUUUGUAUCCCACUUAAUACUGAAGUUGCUAUUAAAGUUCUUGACCUUGAGAAGUGCAAUAAUGACCUGGAUGGAAUAAGACGAGAAGUACAAACCAUGAGCUUGAUUGAUCAUCCAAAUCUUCUUCGAGCAUAUUGCUCGUUUACAAAUGGUCAUCAGCUUUGGGUUGUUAUGCCUUACAUGGCUGCUGGAUCAGCUCUACACAUUAUGAAAACUUCUUUUCCAGAUGGGUUUGAGGAGCCAGUCAUUGCAACUCUUUUGAGGGAAGUUCUUAAAGCUCUUGUGUACCUACACUCCCAAGGGCAUAUUCACAGAGAUGUAAAGGCUGGAAAUAUCCUAAUAGAUACAAAUGGAGCUGUUAAGCUAGGAGACUUUGGAGUAUCAGCCUGCAUGUUUGAUACUGGGAAUAGGCAAAGAGCACGAAACACUUUUGUAGGAACCCCAUGCUGGAUGGCUCCUGAAGUCAUGCAACAACUGCAUGGUUAUGAUUACAAAGCUGACAUUUGGUCAUUUGGGAUAACGGCAUUGGAACUAGCACAUGGUCAUGCUCCAUUCUCAAAGUACCCUCCAAUGAAGGUGUUGCUUAUGACCUUGCAAAAUGCACCACCAGGUCUAGACUACGAGAGGGACAAGCGAUUUUCAAAGUCUUUCAAGGACUUGGUUGCAACAUGCUUAGUCAAAGAUCCACGCAAGCGUCCCUCUUCAGAAAAGCUCUUGAAGCAUUCUUUUUUUAAGCAUGCACGUACAACUGAAUUUCUUGCCCGGAGUAUUCUUGAUGGCCUCCCCCCACUGGGUGAACGCUUUAGGGAAUUGAAGGGAAAAGAGGCUGACUUGCUUCUUAGUAAUAAGCUUGGUUCAGAGAGCAAGGAGCAGCUAUCACAGAAAGAGUACAUACGAGGCAUCAGUGGUUGGAACUUCAAUCUGGAGGACCUGAAAAAUGCAGCUGCUCUUAUAGACAGUACAAACGGAACGUGCCAUUUAGAUGGUGUCAACAGCAAAGUUAAGGAUGGUUUACAAGAAGCUAAUGAGCCAGAAAAUAUUUACCAGGGACAGGCUAACCAGGUUGCUUCUGCAAGGCAUGAGGACGAGAUACAAGAGGUCGAAGAUUUGGAUGGUGCUCUUGCUUCCUCUUUCCCAAGCCGCCCCCUCGAAGCAUUAAAAUCUUGCUUUGAUGUUUGUGGGGAUGAUGAUCCCUGCCCUACUGCUACUGAUUCAAGGGAGCAACCAAGUAGGGAAUCUGCAUCACAAAUAGAUCAUCAUAGAAGUGCCAACUGUAAUGGUGAAAUUUUGGAAAGAAGUGCUUCUGUACCCUCAAACUUGGUCAAUAGAGGGUCCCACAAGUUCUUAAGUGGUUCCCUGAUACCUGAACAUGUUCUUUCUCCUUACAGGAAUGACCCAGCAAGGAAUGAGUGUCAUCAGAAAAAUACAUGCAACAGGAACCGUAGUGGGCCCCUAUCCCGCCAAAUGAAAGAUUCACGAUCACAUCUGCCUGUUGAACCUGAGGAGCAACCUGAAGGAAAAGUUAUCCAGCGAAGGGGGCGUUUUCAGGUUACAUCAGAUAGUAUUGCUCAAAAGCUUCAUCAGCAAGCAGCAGCAGGUGCUCAAAUUUACCAAUCGGAGUAACACGACCAUCUUUUCAUCCAUCAACAAUUCUUCCAACACUAGAAUUCUUGAUACAGCAAAGUACCAUGCAAAAGGAAGUGCUAAGUAGACUGAUUUCUUCAAUUGAGGAAAUAUCUGCUGCUGCUGAUGCCGGUACAACUGGUUCGUCUCAGUCAUCUGGAGCGCAUUUCAGAGAGAAGGAACUGCAAUCGUACAUCGCCAACUUGCAGCAAAGUGUCACCGAACUUGCUGAGGAAGUCCAAAGAUUAAAGCUAAAAAAUUCUAAGCUGGAGGAGCAGAUAAAUGCAGUCCCCAAAAAAGAUGAAAAGUUGCGAACAGAGGAUACCCGACAACAAUGACGUACACAAUGCAAUGUAACGCCCGCUGUAAAAUCAGUUCCCCAAUUUUGAAUUUGAUUAGCAAAAUUGUUUGUAUUUUGUUCAAAGUCAGGCCUGGUGUAUCAUUGUAAUUUGUAAUUAUUUUAGCAAGGUGAAAUUAUAGUAAUUUUGAUUUGUACAGGAGAUUUCAAUCUAUAACACAGUUGGAAGAUUGGUAGUAGAAAAUACCACGCUCUCUCUCUCUACUAAACCAGUAGCACAGAGCACGGUUAAUCUUACCGGUGGAAACUGGUUUGUUUUGGCGAAAAAUUGUGAAACUAGAUCCUGGCGGUUACAUAUACCAUCUUGAAACGAAAAGGCUAACUGGCGAAUGCCUAUGGGUCCGUGAACCUGUGUGAACA
This is an RNA transcript of Oryza brachyantha (malo sina), 3030 nucleotides long. It is a transcript of the gene named serine/threonine-protein kinase fray2, with no coding region annotated. Lineage: Eukaryota; Viridiplantae; Streptophyta; Magnoliopsida; Poales; Poaceae. The record is from RefSeq and is a predicted model, not a curated record. The transcript has 21 exons.